Molecule: long non-coding RNA, 1681 nt
Organism: Pipra filicauda (Wire-tailed manakin)
Lineage: Eukaryota; Metazoa; Chordata; Aves; Passeriformes; Pipridae
Exons: 2
Source: RefSeq, a predicted model, not a curated record
CCCCGGGCAAGAACACCCCCUGCGCCCGCCAGAGCCCCGUGGAGCCGCCCCGGCCCCCUCCGCCACCCUCGGGGUCGGGCGGCGAAAGUUUUCCCGACUCUUCCCUGCUUCCAGCUCCACGGCUCCCCGAGCUGAGAGAGAAGCAGGGCGAGACAUAGGUGGGGAGAGCCGGAGGAAAUUGAAAACAUAUUUUAAAAUGUAAACGGGUCGGAGCCAGCCGGAGCGGGCGUGCGGGUGAUGAGGCGCAUGGAGGGACCGGGAGCGGCCCGGCGGAGCAGAGGCGUGUGCAGACCCCAAACCUUCCACGGAACUUUCAUCCCCUAUUGGUAACGUCUUUAGCGAGGGGACAGGAGUAUCUGCCCCGAAAUGGGGCAAAGCAGCGCUCAGAAACCUUCACUGUAACUUAAACCAGAUUGUCAGGGAGCAGCCGCGGCCAGAGGCAGCCGCCGGAGCUGCUCGCCGGGCGAGAGGAUGCCGCUGCCCUCCUCGGAUCUAUUCCUCCCCCGGCCAGCUAGCGAUAAACAUCUCCGGGAGCUGAGACUUUUUAAGGCACCCGAUCCAGAAGAAAAUGCGAAGAAGAAAAGGAAAAAAAAGUUAAUGCAACGAAAUCGGAGAAAUUAUUUCUCCCCGUUUCCAAAGAGGUUGCGGGCGCCGCAGGCUGGCGUCGUGCGGCGGGAGCGAUGCGAGCGCCCUCCGCGCAGCCCGACGGCAGGCAACGGGGGUCCCAGCCCUGCUCCCCGGCUCCGCCGCCCCUCGGCCGCUUUCCACCUCCCGGACUGGAUUUUCUCCCGCCCCAUGCCAGGAUGGCUGACCCAAGCUCCACCGCCGAGAGCCGGUGGGGACACCAACCUGCAAGAGACUCAGACGGCACCGCAGCACUUCCGAGGGGCAGCAGAGCCGCAGCACAGCCCCGGCUCUGCAGCACUUCAGUGAGAGCACCCGGUGUUCCGGCCCCGCUGGACGCACCGGUGGCUCCUCGGGACCGGCCCCCCCUGAGACGGCAGCGGGCACGGGGCACCAGGGGACCGGGCGCCCCAACGGGCGCCCCGAAACCCAGCGGCACCCACAAGUUACAGAGGGAACUUUUUCCUAAGAAGAGGUUUUUUUUAAAGCUUCCGUCCGUAAACCGUCUGUGUGCAGACAUAUUACCCCGAUUACCGUAACUACCUGCGAGCCGGGGAGUAAUAUUUAUCUAUUUAGAUAGGAAGGGUCGCGAUGGAAAAAAUAUCCAGCCUGGAAAUAUACAUCGUCUUUUCCUUUAACCCCUCCUCAUUCAUCCAGACGAUCCCCCACCCCUUCCAUACACAAACCUACUCAAUUUAUAGAGAAGCCUUUACAAUCCAGAACAGUUUCUAGAAGAAGGGAGGACUCCAGAUGAAAUAAUCCCCCUCCCUACACACACACGUACACACAGACACACACGCACAUACACACACUUCCCCCCCGCGCGUGCUCAGGAAGGCAAAUUAAAUAGUUAAAGGCUUCGAUUUCUCUCUCUCUCCCUUUUGUUACCCAAUUUUGGAACAUUUAAGGAUGGGUGUGUGUAUUGUAUUCAAUAAUAAAAGCUAUAGGGCCGCCAGGACAUUUAUCAUCCUAUUACUGUAACAAAUCCGGGCUCCCAAUACAUGAAAGGUAAAAUGAAUUACCGACGUUAAGCCGUCAAUAAAGUCAUUUCUGUAAA